GAGACCUGGUUGCCUCUUUUCUCUCAUAUUUCCUUAGAACAUUUAUGAAAUGAAAUAUUUCAGUCCUAUCAUCAUUUUUCCCCUGUGCUGGGAAUGAAUUAUAAAUGGCACCUCCUCUAUCUUCACAUAUAGCACUCAUGGCAAGAUUUCGGAUAUAGUAGGUAAUCCAUGAAUGUUCAUCUUCAUUGCUUAUAUUCAGCUGGCUCUCUGUGUACAAAAUUUGCUUCAUAUUUUUCUUGCAGAAACUUCUUUCUUGAUUCUCAAGUUUUUCUUACAAAUUUCUAAGACAACUUCAAGAUUAAGUGGACUACUUGAAAGGACAUAACAAAAUACAAAGCCAGUUUUUACUACCGAGCAGAUGACCACCUUUUCCAAGGAGUCACUUUGUACAGAAAGACUGCUUUGUAGCUGGCAUCAGACCCACUAAGCAAAGCAGAAGAAUCUUGAGAUUCUUAGAGAAAGUCGUAUCAAAGAGGAAGAAGCACAGUCUGGCCAAUUAAAUCAGGUAGGACCCAACCAUAAACAUCAGUCAUGAUUUAACAACCCAAUUACACAUUUAUUCAUGGGAUACCAGUGGCAUUAUUCUUUGAAGAAAUGUUUUCACUGUGCCCUUCUCAGGAGGUCUUUUGACACAUUAGCAGGUGGAAAGCUUUGGUGUGAAGUAUGCAGAAAAUUCCAGGAGCUGUGCAGUUAUGUAGCAGGCCUAUGAGAGUUUAAAAACCAUGGGAUGAGGCGGCUUUGGGGAAGGCACCUCCCCCGCCCACCCUGAGGCUGAGGCUACCAGAUGUUCCCAGCCUUGGGGCCUGGUCCCAGUCUCCAGUGGAACUCUGUCGAUGACUCUGUCGAUGGCUCUAGCUCACUGCAAAGCGGACCAGUCACAGAAGGAGGGGGACGGAGACAAAGACCCCAUUCUCCAGCUCCGCCAGUGUUUGUGGAGUAAAGAACUACAGGGAGCCCACUCAGUGUGCCGGCCGCGUCCCUUCCACUGAACGACAAUCACUAGGCUUGAGAUGCGUCUACACCGCCCAUUAGGAGCCUGCAGAAACUAGAACUAGAAUUGGGGCUUCUACAAUGCGACGGGUCGGCGUGUGUGUCAACAGAUGGCCCAGGUGACUGAGAAAAACACGGGCGAAAGGUAGAAACUCAGAAAUACUUCUCCCUCGCUGUUCUGAAAAGAGCCUGAAGCCCAGGUGGCAAAGGCCCAGGGGUGCAGUUGGCUACCCUGCGUGACUUCCUGGCGAUCAAGGAGGGCAAGCAGGGCGCAGAAAAAAGGACGGGAGAGGGGACUUGGACUUACAGCCAGGGUCACCCUAAGGGCUUGGCCUCUUUUACACGACGAGGGAGACCCAGUCUUCUCAUCCAAUGGCAUUGAACACUCCGAAGGCAGCAGAAAGGGUAAAGGAGGUGGACCUACGCUGGGUGGGGCUCGGCGCUGGGUUUAGACACCCGUGACCGAGCCCACGGCUGCUUCCCUCCGGGGAACCGGGCCUAACCAACCUGCCUGCUGCAGAAGGGCUCAGCCUACGCCCAGGGCCACGGGGCACAGUCUUGGUUCGGCCCAGCUCCUGACUUCAGGGCCGUGAGAUCGAGCCCCACGCUGGGCUCCACGAUGAGCGCACACUCUGCUUCGCAUCCUCUCCCUCUCUCGCGUGCGCUCUCUCUCAUCCUCCCAAAUGAAUAAAUACUUAAAAAAAAAAAAAAAGGAAGCUCUGCCCACCCAGCACUUAAUGUGGCCCAUGCUCCGUAACGUGGGCUAUUCUCAUUAUUCUCUUGUAAAGCGCCGCGGAGACGUAACUCGCCAGUCCCAUCACCGUGGCUCAGUGAGCUGGUGUCAUUGGAAGCACGGGAGCCAACAGCAAGGUGACCCAAGACAAGCAAGAUACUACACGAGCGUAGGCUGAGCAUCACAUCUUUCCUAACAAUCCUUGCCUGCAAAGGGGCCAUCCUACGUUGAUUUUGCUGCCACGGUUUGCUUUCUGCAAACCCUCAGCAUCAGCCAAAUCCAUCCUCACGAUUCCUAAGGGUACGUUAGCCAAGAUGUUUCACACCCAUACAGCAAACCUUUGCAUUUAGCUUCCAGUUGGAAGGAAACAGGAACUAGAAGCCCAAGUUCAAUGAUACCAUAAGGAAGGAAGAAAUCCAGAAUGUGGGACAUUCUGCAGGAUAGAUAACUGAUCAGGUCUCUUUAUUAGAUCUAGAGUCGUGAAAAGAUCCUUUAAAGGCCAGAACAAAAGGGAUUUAAGGGUCAUAUCGAUCACAUGCGGUGCCUGGGCCUGGACUGGAUCCUGAUUUAGACAAUUUGGGGGACAUUUUAAGAAACUAGAAAGGGGGAUAGGAGAUAAAGAUAGGAUACACUCUUAUUAACUUGAAAGGGUAGCUAGUGUGAAAUGUCACAAACAGCAAAUCAGCAUAGCUCAUUUAACCAAAGUGCGCACACGCACACACAAGCAUCUGGAAGGAUAAACAGUACUAGGAGAAUUAACUACUGAUUUUUGGAAGGUCAAUACACAAGGUUUUUGUUGGUGGUGGUUGAUGUUUUGUCGGAGAUGCACAAGACUGAUUUUAUAAUGACAACAACAAAUUGAUUUUAAUUUCAAAAAGACCUGAUUCAGGACGCCCGGGUGGCUCAGGGGUUGAGCGUCUGCCUUCGGCUCAGGUCGUGGUCCCCGGGGUCCUGGGAUCGGGUCCCACAUUGGCCUCCCCACGGGGAGCCUGCUUCUCCCUCUGCCUGUGUCUCCCAUGAAUGAAUAAAUAAAAUCUUUAAAGAGCUGAUUCUAAGACAAGGUAUAAAGACGUAAGGUGAAAGUUCAUGGAGGCAAAUAGCGGGUCUGAUCAGCAGAACCGGGUCUUGCUGCCUCCACUGCCACCAUCCAGCCGGGUACUGACACAGGCGGUACACAGUCCUCGGUGGGGCGGGGUCCAGGUAAGAGAGGCAAUAUUUUCAAAAUAGUGAUCGGGGCGCCUGGGGGGCUCAGUGGUUGGGCGUCUGCCCGGCUCAGGUGCCGGGGUGGAUCGAGCCUCCCCCUCCGCAGCGCCUUGGGCUCCCUGCUGUUUCUCCACCAUCCCCCACCCAGCUCACACUCUCAAAUAAAUGAAAUGAAAAAAAAAAAUAAGUGUGAUCAGUGC
This is a long non-coding RNA of Canis lupus familiaris (dog), 3126 nucleotides long. RefSeq lists it as uncharacterized. The record is from RefSeq and is a predicted model, not a curated record. NCBI's taxonomy places the organism in Eukaryota, Metazoa, Chordata, Mammalia, Carnivora, Canidae. The transcript has 5 exons.